UAGGUUUGUGAAGGUGUCUUGUGAGGGAUGCUGGAGGUAUUAGAAGUGUGAAUGUUGAUAUGAGUAGUGAUAAAGCGGGUGAAAAGCCCGCUUGUUGAAAGUUUAAGGUUUUUUGUGUAAUGUUUAUUGGUGUAGGGUGAGUUGGUCCCUAAGGUGAGGUUGAGAAGUGUAGUUGAUGGGAAAUAGGUUAAUAUUCCUGUACCUCUUUGUAAUGUGAUGGGGGGAUGGAGAAGGUUAGGUUAGUUGGGUGUUGGAUGUUUUGGUUUAAGUGUGUAGGUGUGUUUUUUAGGUAAAUUUGGAAAGCUUAGUUGAGGUGUGAUGAUGAGUGGUUUUUGAUUGUGAAGUGAUUGAUAUUAAGUUUUUAAGAAAAGUUUUUAAGUUUUAGUUACAAAGAGACCGUAUUGUAAAUUGAUAUAGGUGGGUAGGAUGAGAAUUUUAAGGUGUUUGAGAGAAUUUAGGAGAAGGAAUUUGGUAAAUUAGUAUUGUAAUUUUGGGAUAAGGUGUGCCCCGGUAGAGUGUAGAUCUUUGUGAUCGAAGCUCGAUGGGGUUGUAGUGAAAUGGUGGUUGUGAUUGUUUAAUAAAAAUAUAGCACUCUGUAAACACGAAAGUGGAUGUAUAGGGUGUGAUGUUUGUUUGGUGUUGGAAGAUUAAAUGAUGGGGUGUAAGCUCUUGAUUGAAGUCUUAGUAAAUGGUGGUUGUAAUAAUAAUGGUUUUAAGGUAGUGAAAUUUCUUGUUGGGUAAGUUUUGAUCUGUAUGAAUGGUUUAAUGAGUUGAAUAUUGUCUCCUUUACGAGCCCGGUGAAAUUGUAGUAUUGGUGAAGAUGUUGGUUACCCGCCACGGGAUGGAAAGAUCCUGUGAACCUUUACUAUAAUUUUACAUUGAUUUUGAGCAAACAAUGUGUAGGAUAGUUGGGAGACUUUGAAGCAGUGUCGCCAGGCAUUGUGGAGUCAACGUUGAAAUACCAACCUUUGUUUGCUUAGAACCUAACCCUAAUCAGGGGACAGUGUAUGGUGGGUAGUUUGACUGGGGUGGUCGCCUCCUAAAAAGUAACGGAGGCUCGCAAAGGUACCCUCAGUACGGUUGGUAAUCGUACGUAGAGCGCAUUAGUAUAAGGGUGCUUGACUGUGAGGCAAACACGCCGAGCAGGAGCGAAAGCUGGCUAAAGUGAUCCGGUGGUUCUGUAUGGAAGGGCCAUCGCUCAAAGGAUAAAAGGUACUCCGGGGAUAACAGGCUGAUCUUACCCAAGAGCUCAUAUCGACGGUAAGGUUUGGCACCUCGAUGUCGGUUCGUCACAUCCUGGGGCUGGAGAAGGUCCCAAGGGUUCGGCUGUUCGCCGAUUAAAGUGGCACGUGAACUGGGUUCAGAACGUCGCAAGACAGUUCGGUCCCUAUCUGUGGUGGGCGCUAGUAAAUUGAGUGGACAUGACCUUAGUACGAGAGGACCGGGUUGUACGUACCGCUGGUGUAUCUGUUAUGCCGCCAGGUGUAAUGCAGAGUAGCUAUGUACGGCAAGGAUAAACGCUGAAAGCAUCUAAGCGUGAAACCUUCCUCAAGAUGAGUUUACUUUUAAGGGUCGUCGAAGACUACGACGUUGAUAGGCUAUAGGUGUAAAGUUGGUAACAACAAAGCCAUAUCGUGACUGGGAAAC
RNAcentral lists this ribosomal RNA (1647 nucleotides) under freshwater metagenome. RNAcentral describes it as "bacterial LSU rRNA". It matches the Rfam family "Bacterial large subunit ribosomal RNA", at positions 1243 to 2909 of the family's 2925-position model. The record is from RNAcentral.